UUUCAUUUCCAUUUUCAAUUCAGACGUCGAGACAGACUUCUGCAUAAAAGCGGCGCCUGAGCACCGAAGCACGAGUCGCUUCCACAGGUUUUGAAGGGUUGAAGGCACAGGGGCCAUUCGAUAAUGAUCCCUCCGCAGGUUCACCUACGGAGA
This 153-nucleotide unclassified non-coding RNA is filed under the name uncultured fungus. Its description in RNAcentral is "sequence contains ITS1". Lineage: Eukaryota; Fungi. The record is from RNAcentral.